AACGGCCGUACCAUGCUGAAUAUACCGGUUCUCGUUAGAUCACCGAAGUUAAGCAUCAUUGGGCGCGGUCAGUACUUGGGUGGGUGACCAUCUGGGAACACUGCGUGCCGUU
RNAcentral lists this ribosomal RNA (112 nucleotides) under Caerostris darwini. Lineage: Eukaryota; Metazoa; Arthropoda; Arachnida; Araneae; Araneidae. The record is from RNAcentral.